This 329-nucleotide unclassified non-coding RNA is filed under the name soil metagenome. RNAcentral describes it as "partial contains 5.8S ribosomal RNA, internal transcribed spacer 2, and large subunit ribosomal RNA". The stretch from base 1 to 120 matches the Rfam family "5.8S ribosomal RNA", at positions 35 to 154 of the family's 154-position model. The record is from RNAcentral.
GAUGAAGAACGUAGCGAAAUGCGAUAAGUAAUGUGAAUUGCAGAAUUCAGUGAAUCAUCGAAUCUUUGAACGCACAUUGCGCCCCCUGGUAUUCCGGGGGGCAUGCCUGUUCGAGCGUCAUUUCACCACUCAAGCCUCGCUUGGUAUUGGGCAACGCGGUCCGCCGCGUGCCUCAAAUCGACCGGCUGGGUCUUCUGUCCCCUAAGCGUUGUGGAAACUAUUCGCUAAAGGGUGCUCGGGAGGCUACGCCGUAAAACAAACCCAUUUCUAAGGUUGACCUCGGAUCAGGUAGGGAUACCCGCUGAACUUAAGCAUAUCAAAGCGGAGGA